GCCUCGGUGGCUCAGACCGGCAGAGCGAGUGACUUGUAAUCACUAGGUCGGGGGUUCAAAUCCCUCCCGAGGCU
RNAcentral lists this transfer RNA (74 nucleotides) under Methanobacteriota archaeon. Its description in RNAcentral is "Euryarchaeota archaeon tRNA-Thr". It matches the Rfam family "tRNA". From Rfam's summary of the family: Transfer RNA (tRNA) molecules are approximately 80 nucleotides in length. Their secondary structure includes four short double-helical elements and three loops (D, anti-codon, and T loops). RNAcentral also lists the same sequence under 2 other names. Lineage: Archaea; Methanobacteriati; Methanobacteriota. The record is from RNAcentral.